Molecule: long non-coding RNA, 221 nt
Organism: Pecten maximus
Lineage: Eukaryota; Metazoa; Mollusca; Bivalvia; Pectinida; Pectinidae
Exons: 3
Source: RefSeq, a predicted model, not a curated record
AUGCUUCAUGAUAGUUCAUUCUACACAAAGACCUUGGUCAUCCAAAAAGAUGUUCCUACUGAAGGAGGGAUCUUCCAGGACAAGACUGGCGAGUAACAGUCACGAGAGAGGUUUAGUAAAUGCGGCUGACGCUACAAAUUAUACAGGAUCUUGCAAUCGCAGCAUUAGCAUACUCAAGGUUUGUAUGUCCAGAAAAGCCAUUCGUAUACCGCGGCUGACAG